UUUCCUUCCCAAAUCGAGUACUCUCUAUCCUCCCAUCAGCCAAGAUAAAGCCAAAUCCUGAAUCUCCCAACGUCCGCGUUCACCUCCCCUGCUCAAAUGAUCCCAACUCAAUCCCACGUCAUCCCCUCGUUCCCACGUUUUUGCUUCAGAACAGAGCAGAGAUUAUAUCAACGCUCACCAUCCGCAUGAGAUCCCUCUCAUCUUCACCCGGAUUCUUCCCAGAUUUCCUCCCAUCCGCGUGUCUUCCCUCUUCCGAACCAAGCCAUCCUUUUCNN
Molecule: long non-coding RNA, 275 nt
Filed under: Phoenix dactylifera (date palm)
Lineage: Eukaryota; Viridiplantae; Streptophyta; Magnoliopsida; Arecales; Arecaceae
Description: long non-coding RNA (PDAC_LNC006296)
Source: RNAcentral